UACGUAGGUGGCAAGCGUUGUCCGGAUUUAUUGGGUUUAAAGGGUGCGUAGGCGGGUCUUUAAGUCAGUGGUGAAAGCCCAUAGCUUAACUAUGGAACUGCCAUUGAAACUGGGGACCUUGAAUUCGGUAUAGGUAGGCGGAAUUGAUGGUGUAGCGGUGAAAUGCAUAGAUACCAUCAGGAACACCGAUUGCGAAGGCAGCUUACUGGACUUGAAUUGACGCUGAGGCACGAAAGCGUGGGUAGCGAACAGG
RNAcentral lists this unclassified non-coding RNA (253 nucleotides) under uncultured Cyclobacteriaceae bacterium. Its description in RNAcentral is "contains 16S-23S intergenic spacer region". It matches the Rfam family "Bacterial small subunit ribosomal RNA", at positions 524 to 776 of the family's 1533-position model. Lineage: Bacteria; Pseudomonadati; Bacteroidota; Cytophagia; Cytophagales; Cyclobacteriaceae. The record is from RNAcentral.